UAAAAGUUGUAAAGUAAAGAUAACCUUCAAUUAUCAACAAAUAACAAGUAAACUCAUCGCAUAUUUGUUAAUAAUAUUCAACGACAGCAACCAAACACCACACAAAGUAAUAAAACGACGUAGGCAAUCAUAUUCAACAUAAACCACCAAAAUGUUUGAUGCAGGAGACACCCUGGCGUUAAUCCUUGGAUUAUUCAUCAGCACAGUGGGCAUUCUAGCAUGUUUGGGUGUUUAUGCCAGGAGGCAAGUUCAACAAUUAGGUGGAUAAACAUAAAAUGCACAAAACUUUUAAAUUUUGCACCAAAACAAAGAUGUAACUUUCAAAAUAAGAAUCUCUAAACAACAA
Dalotia coriaria is the source of this 346-nucleotide long non-coding RNA. RefSeq lists it as uncharacterized. The transcript is spliced from 2 exons. The record is from RefSeq and is a predicted model, not a curated record. Lineage: Eukaryota; Metazoa; Arthropoda; Insecta; Coleoptera; Staphylinidae.